UCCCUGGUGGCUUGAUUGGUAAAGAAUCUGCCUGCAAUGCAGGAGAUCCAGGUUCUAUUCCAGAUCUGGGAA
RNAcentral lists this transfer RNA (72 nucleotides) under Bos taurus (domestic cattle). It matches the Rfam family "tRNA". From Rfam's summary of the family: Transfer RNA (tRNA) molecules are approximately 80 nucleotides in length. Their secondary structure includes four short double-helical elements and three loops (D, anti-codon, and T loops). Further hydrogen bonds mediate the characteristic L-shaped molecular structure. tRNAs have two regions of fundamental functional importance: the anti-codon, which is responsible for specific mRNA codon recognition, and the 3' end, to which the tRNAs corresponding amino acid is attached (by aminoacyl-tRNA synthetases). tRNAs cope with the degeneracy of the genetic code in two manners: having more than one tRNA (with a specific anti-codon) for a particular amino acid; and 'wobble' base-pairing, i.e. permitting non-standard base-pairing at the 3rd anti-codon position. Lineage: Eukaryota; Metazoa; Chordata; Mammalia; Artiodactyla; Bovidae. RNAcentral also lists the same sequence under 2 other names. The record is from Rfam by way of RNAcentral.